RNAcentral lists this ribosomal RNA (467 nucleotides) under uncultured bacterium. RNAcentral's name for it is "partial 16S ribosomal RNA". It matches the Rfam family "Bacterial small subunit ribosomal RNA", at positions 28 to 507 of the family's 1533-position model. The record is from RNAcentral.
GAUGAACGCUGGCGGCGCGCCUAACACAUGCAAGUCGAACGAUUAAAGCACCUUCGGGUGUGUAUAAAGUGGCGAACGGCUGAGUAACACGUGGGCAACCUGCCCCUUUCAUUGGGAUAGCCACGGGAAACCGUGGAUAAUACCGAAUACUUCGAGACUUCCGCAUGGAAGACUCGAGAAAGCUCCGGCGGAGAGGGAUGGGCCCGCGGCCUGUUAGCUUGUUGGUGGGGUAACGGCCUACCAAGGCAAUGAUGGGUAGCUGGGUUGAGAGACCGACCAGCCAGAUUGGGACUGAGACACGGCCCAGACUCCUAUGGGAGGCAGCAGUGGGGAAUCUUGCACAAUGGGCGAAAGCCUGAUGCAGCGACGCCGCGUGCGGGAUGAAGGCCUUCGGGUUGUAAACCGCUUUCAGCAGGGACGAGGCGAAAGUGACGGUACCUGCAGAAGAAGCCCCGGCUAACUACGUG